GGCUGGUCCAAGUGCAGUAGCAUUUGCAACUAAUUGAUCACAACCAGUUACAGUUUUCUUUGUUCCUUUUCCAGUUCCAUUGCUGGAGAAAAUUUAACUAACCUAAA
Molecule: unclassified non-coding RNA, 107 nt
Organism: Mandrillus leucophaeus (drill)
Lineage: Eukaryota; Metazoa; Chordata; Mammalia; Primates; Cercopithecidae
Rfam family: Y RNA
About the family: Y RNAs are components of the Ro ribonucleoprotein particle (Ro RNP), in association with Ro60 and La proteins.
Source: Ensembl